This 426-nucleotide ribosomal RNA is filed under the name uncultured bacterium. RNAcentral describes it as "bacterial SSU rRNA". It matches the Rfam family "Bacterial small subunit ribosomal RNA", at positions 917 to 1350 of the family's 1533-position model. The record is from RNAcentral.
GGGCCCGCACAAGCGGUGGAGUAUGUGGUUUAAUUCGAUGCAACGCGAAGAACCUUACCAGGGUUUGACAUCCUGCGAAUCUCUUGGAAACAGGAGAGUGCCUUCGGGAACGCAGUGACAGGUGGUGCAUGGCUGUCGUCAGCUCGUGUGGUGACAUGUUGGAUUAAUUUCCCGAACGAGCGAAACCCUGCUAUAUUGUAAUAACUUUAUGUAAUUCAAUAUAGACCGCCAGUGAUAGACUGGAGGCAGGAUAGGAUGACGUCAAGUCCUCAUGACCCUUAUGAACUGGGCUACACACGUGUUACAAUGGUGUAAACAAAACGUAGCAAUGAUGAAAAUCGGAGCCAAUCGCUAAAUUACACCUCAGUACGGAUUGGUGUCUGCAACUCGACUCCAUGAAGCCGGAAUCACUAGUAAUCGUGGAUC